Pocillopora damicornis (cauliflower coral) is the source of this 651-nucleotide long non-coding RNA. RefSeq lists it as uncharacterized. The record is from RefSeq and is a predicted model, not a curated record. Lineage: Eukaryota; Metazoa; Cnidaria; Anthozoa; Scleractinia; Pocilloporidae.
GCUUAAAUAACACUGUCGGUGUCAAUGCCACAGCAGUUGACCAUAUGUCUGAGAGAGUUUUUCAAUCUUAAAGGCUGCUACCUGCUACGCAUCUACUAAGGGAAACCCUUGCUUCCUAUGACAGAGAAAAUUUUCUCCUGAGACACCCGACGGUUAAAAUUCUCCUAACAAGCUGUUUUCGCGAGGAGCAUGAUCAAAAUUGGUAACAUGAAGACAUCGAAAGCAUUCCGUCUAGCUGUUCUGCUUGUAUUCUUGGCAACUUGUACCGAAUUAUCGACUGGUUUACCAACAUCGUUAGCAGAUAAAGAAAGUCUAAGGUCUCUUCCUUGUGAAGAUAGCUCAGACAAAUACUACUGUUUCUAUGAGAUCGCACUGGAGGAUGCUUGUGAUGUAAAACCGUUUGUAAUGAUGAAACAAUGCAAAUUUUCCUGUGGCUUCUGUUAGUCAUAAAUGGAAACUGUUGUUUAACCGGCUACAUAAUGCUUAUUCGACUGAAUAAAUAACUUAUUGUAUAAGAUAUAGUUUAGGCAUCUUUCAAAGAUAUUCUAUUCGUGGACCGUUUCAAAUUCAAAUGUAAAAUAUACUGAUAAGUGAUAUUCAUUGUCUUACGUAUUUUAAAAUGACUCAGAAAUAAAUCAGAAGUCAAUCACA